UGUUAAAAACUGUUCUCGCGCUCAUUUAGUUCCGGAAACAGGUCGACACACUCCAGACAACCAUAAAAACUUCCAGAAUAUCUCAAAACACUAUUUUUACACUAGAACCUUGAAAUUUGCUACAGUUCUGUGUGCUACAAAAUUUGACCAAAUAUUUUUAUAAAAUAAAAUAAAGUAAAUAAUAACUGAUAGUUAAUAUCUAUUAAAUUUACUAUAUUUUUAAUUUAUAUUAAAAUUUUUAAAUUUUUCAGUAAUUUUUUUCUCACAUAUGCCUUUAUAAAAUAAUUUAAUUACUAACAAAUUCUUACAAAAAUUUAUAUAGCACAUAAAUCAAUUUACAUCAUUUUUAUUUAAAUUAUUUUUUAUACUUUUUUAAUUAAUAAUUAGGAUAAUAAAAUAAUGUGAAUACUUUAAUUAUAAUUUAUUAUUAAAAUAUUUU
RNAcentral lists this long non-coding RNA (439 nucleotides) under Ananas comosus (pineapple). Its description in RNAcentral is "long non-coding RNA (ACOM_LNC000954)". Lineage: Eukaryota; Viridiplantae; Streptophyta; Magnoliopsida; Poales; Bromeliaceae. The record is from RNAcentral.